This 305-nucleotide ribosomal RNA is filed under the name uncultured bacterium. Its description in RNAcentral is "bacterial SSU rRNA". It matches the Rfam family "Bacterial small subunit ribosomal RNA", at positions 334 to 637 of the family's 1533-position model. The record is from RNAcentral.
GAUUCCUACGGGACGCAGCAGUGAGGAGUAUUGGUCAAUGGGCGAGAGCCUGAACCAGCCAAGUCGCGUGAGGGAAGACGGUCCUAUGGAUUGUAAACCUCUUUUGCCGGGGAGCAAAAAGCGGUACGCGUACCGCAUCGAGAGUACCCGGAGAAAAAGCAUCGGCUAACUCCGUGCCAGCAGCCGCGGUAAUACGGAGGAUGCGAGCGUUAUCCGGAUUUAUUGGGUUUAAAGGGUGCGCAGGCGGCACGGCAAGCCGGCGGUCAAAUCGCGGGGCUCAACCCCGCCCAGCCGUCGGAACUGCC